GAUGGGGUUUUGGUAAAAGCCCUUCAUGCAUUACAACUUUGAUCACUUUCACUUUCUUACACUUCUAAUCUCACCAUAAGUUCCAACACCCACUAGUUGAACUUUCAUCAUCCCUCAACCCUCUCAGUUCACCACCUACAAGCAAAAUCUGAAAAAGAGGAUAAAAGCAGUACCCAUGAUUAUGAAGUAGGACUUGCUAUCGAAAAUUUUGAAGUUUAGUUCUCUCGUCACUCCAAGUUUUCAACCCAAAACUUUUGGAUCUUUGAUACCCCAU
RNAcentral lists this long non-coding RNA (274 nucleotides) under Gossypium barbadense (sea-island cotton). Its description in RNAcentral is "long non-coding RNA (GBAR_LNC017082)". The record is from RNAcentral. Lineage: Eukaryota; Viridiplantae; Streptophyta; Magnoliopsida; Malvales; Malvaceae.